AGACUUUAUAUUUUCUGUUUUUUUUACUCUGCAGUAGAAACGUUUUGACCUGUAUAAUGUAUAUUCCAAUUGUAUAUCAGUGUAUACAUCCAGUAUAUCGACCUGUUCUUCAACUUUUUGGGGCCUUAAAAAUUGACUUUCAAUGAGCAAAUGCUGCUUUUCGACCUGUUUGUCAGUUUUCCAGGGGAUGGGUGACUCGAUAAUAAAGGAUUGAGCCUUCGUGGCUCAAUCAAGAGGUCACAAGAAAAGAAAAUAGUGUCCAAAUGGAGUCGAGUGGAG
Molecule: unclassified non-coding RNA, 279 nt
Filed under: Hevea brasiliensis (rubber tree)
Lineage: Eukaryota; Viridiplantae; Streptophyta; Magnoliopsida; Malpighiales; Euphorbiaceae
Source: RNAcentral